Capra hircus (goat) is the source of this 2676-nucleotide long non-coding RNA. RefSeq lists it as uncharacterized. The transcript is spliced from 3 exons. The record is from RefSeq and is a predicted model, not a curated record. Lineage: Eukaryota; Metazoa; Chordata; Mammalia; Artiodactyla; Bovidae.
GGAGAUAAGAGAAAGCACUGAUUCUAGGCUGACCUUCCUCCCCAAGGCCCCCCCACAGGGAGUGGGCAUUGCGCUGACCAGCCUCUUGCCAAAGCAGACCUCUAGCUACUGAGAGCAGACAUUGAGCUGUUUCAAUGACGUAACAAUGAAUGGCCCCAGGACCGCGAGGUGACGGAGGACUUGGAAAGGAAGAAUGAGGUCAAGUGAGAAGGAAGAAGGGGUGAGAGGGAAUGAACAUGAAUUGCCCUCCUAUGAGCUCUCCAGUGGUCUUUUUUCCAUAAAGGAAGCCCUUCCCACACCCUCUGACCCACAUGGAGCAGACACCGCAUGGAGGAGGAGAAAGAGCACUGGCUGACCCCCUGUCUUGAUACCGUCUCCUUGCUGGUUGGAUGACACUGUGAAGGAAACCUCUUUGAGCCUUGGUCUUUUCAUCUGUCAAAUGGGGGUGGUCCCAGGAGCCCUACGAUAGCCUUGAGGACUGAGUUAGAUGCCAGAUGUGCAGCGCCUCAGUGCAAAUCCUGACACAUAGUGGGCACCCAAUAAAUGUGAGCUCCUACCCUCUUAGUCUUAGCACCAUGUGCGUUGGGCAUACCUCAUGCUCAGCUUGGCUGGAUCUCCAGCUCAGCCCAUGGGCGCCAUGAGCUUUGGCAUGCAGGGCCUGAGCUCACACUUCUCUGUGUGCUUUCAAAUUCUGAACUAGUGCUGAGCCAGGGCCUGCCUGGACAUCCUGGUCUUCCUCUAGCCACUGAGAUUCUUCCAACGGUGCCCUACUGCUCUCAGAAAAAGCACCAGUUUCUUAAUCACUCCUAAGGCCCUUUGGGAUCUGGUCCCUGCCCACUUAUCCAGCUUUAUCUCCUAGGCCCUAUGGAACCAUGAAGUUCUUUGGAUGCACUGGCUUCUUCCUACAGCUGAGCCUUUGAUCAGCCAAUCCUCUGCCUGGAGCACCCUCUCCCCUCUUUGACUUCUGCCCCAUGUCCUCGUUACCUAGCUGACUUCUGCUCACCUUUUCCAUCUUGGCUUAGCUAUCCUGCCUUCAGGAAAACGUCUCUGUCUCUCCAGGUCUCUUCUUGGGGUCCUGUCAUCUCCUCUAACUUUUAUCACAGCACUUGCCACCCGGGGUGUCCACCUCCUUUUGUGAUUAAUCUGUGAGCUCCUGGGGGCAGGGACCAGGUUGAACUCAAUGUUCCAUCCCCAGGCUGGUGCACUGCCUGGCACAUAGUGAGUGCUCAAUAAAUAACCGAGAAAAAAGAUUGAGUGUGUGUCUCUUGCUACCACUUUAUCUAAAGCCACUGAAGUGAUCUGGACCUGAGGCACUCUUGGGCCAAUAGGUAUUUUUGUUUAGAGAAGGCUGAGGACUGACUCACAAAAAGCCCAGAGCAGGGUGCCCUAGCCCAUGGCAGCCUGGUUAAUAGGGUGUCUUCUGCCAUCCGCAGUCAGCCUGGGCCACUAAAGUUCUCCAGUUGCUGGUAUGAGACAGAAAUGGAACAAACCAGGGUUUGGGCAAAUCCCAUUGAGACAGAUAGGCUAAGAGAAGUUUGGGGAUUUUGUGGGUAUGUCCCUAACCCCCGCUAUUGGUGUCAGGGGAAAACAACACUCCUCUUCCCUUUGGCUUCCUUCAGAAGUCAGGUCUUAGAUCUGAGAGGUCUAGGGCUGACCUGGGGGAGGGCACACUUCUGGCAUCUGCAGUGGGGGAGUGAGGCAGUGCUUAUGGAGACAGAGUUAUAGGUCACUCUAGAGUCUUCUGAGAAAUUGCAUCUAAGAGGCGAAGCUGGUGGACCUGUCUGUCAAAUCACCCCGAGGCCGUGGAGGGCUGGAGCCUCAGCCAGCUGUGGCCAUGUUUGGACUCCAGUGUGGACAGGGGCAGGCUGCCUGCAUGCUUGCUUCCUGUCUGGCUGGCGGAGUUCUUUCAGAGCCCUCACUGAACUGAAAUCAUAAACACAAGCUUUCAGAGAAGCCAGUGAUUUCUGCUUCUGUCUUCAUCUGAUUAUGAGGAGAUAACAGAUGACUUUGUUCUAAAGUGCAGAGAAAACUCCCUGGUCUUACAGGCCGGGGCAUGGGGCUAUAGUCACCGUGCUGGUCCCAAACCACCUCUUCAUCUGUGCCUGGCAUGACAGCAAGGACACAUAGACAACAGAGUGACCACAAGCCGGGGUCCUGGCCCCAUGAGUGUGACAAGAACCUGGGAGACAAACUGUUCCUGGGGGGACACGCUGUCUCGAUGCGGUGUCCAAGAACCCAGCUUUCAGGUCCCAGCUCACUCUUGAGUCUCCUGGCCUCCAGCCUCCCUCCAGCUCACCCUCCUUUCCCAGUCCCCGCAGCACUUCCUGGAACAUGCAUUCCCCCCACCUCCUAAUAUUUUUAUGUGCGUCACAUUUUCCUCUCAUAUCCCUCAAGGUACCUGUUGCAAAGCAGGGCACACAGCAAUCCCUUCAUAUUCAUUUGCUCAAAAUCCUUUUACUCACCAUAAAAGUCAAACUCAAAAUGCCUCCUAGCUUUGAAAUGUCUCAGUAUGCUUAUCUAAGCUCUAUUUUCUUUGAAAUGUCAAUAUGCUUAUCUAAGCUCUAUUUUCUUCUUUUAAAUAUCCUCUAAGGAAAAGGAAACAUGAAAAUAAUUAGAAUGCUUGCUCAAUAUCAAUUAACUAGAUCUUUAGAUAGAUAUAUGUAUUCAUUCAGUUCA